Long non-coding RNA from Phascolarctos cinereus (koala), 1969 nucleotides. RefSeq lists it as uncharacterized. Lineage: Eukaryota; Metazoa; Chordata; Mammalia; Diprotodontia; Phascolarctidae. The record is from RefSeq and is a predicted model, not a curated record.
UUGUGCUCCAUUACAAUGAUGCCAGGAAACCAAUGAGUGGAGAUAACUCAGGAUCAGGAGAGGAUUUCUGCCACAGGAGGGAAGAAUUGAUGGCCACUCUCAGCAGAGAUGAUCUCAGGAUUGGGAAGAUCAAGCUUGAUUCAAGUCCUGCCUUGGAUACACACACUAGCUAUGUGACCCCUGUCAUGCUUUGCAUCACUCCUCUGAAGUCACAGUUGGGCACUGCAUUGAUCAGCAUUCUGAAGUCUUCUGUUGCUUUCCUUCGUACACCAUUGUGGUCAUCUUGUGAAGUGCCAUCUUGUUUCUGCUUUCUGUAGAGAUUAAUUUAAAGGUCUGUUGUGUAACAGACAAUGGUAGGUGUUGGGUGAGAUGCAAACAUUGGAUAGAACACAGUCCCUACCCUCAUAGAGUCUACAGUCUGGUAGAAGUGUAUGACACAUAUACAAAUAAGUAUAGUAAACAAUAAAGUAUGAUGAAUGCAUGAGAAUGAGAGGUAGAAAGCAAUCAUAUAUAAGAUGGAGGUGAGGUAGAAGCUUUGGGUUGGGGGGCAUCCUAUGGUACAUUUGUCCAGAUGGGCUGAUGUUCUAGCCUUCUGCUAAAGGAAAUGUGUGAACAGCAGCUACUGAUUGGUCCCAGUGUGUCCCUGUGAUGGGGCUGUGUUGAAGAUGAAUGGCAACUGAGAUAGGAAGAGGUGCCCACAUUGUGGGCUGUAGGAAUUGAGGAGAAACUGCCUUUGGCUUUUUUGGGACCCAGGCAAUGCCUGCGCUCCCAUGGACUUUCCUUGGGGAGAGGGGAUUUCACACACAUUGCAACCAGAGCAUGUAUUUGCCUAGACAAGUGUGAGACUGGACUUUAAAUCCCUGACUGCCUUUUCUGUUUUUGUGUUUCUUUUUCUGAAUCCAUAUCAUUGAACAGGGAUUCUGAGAAAUGGAGGGUCACAGUUCUGUCAGUAACUUUGUCAAUCUCAGAGGUCAGUAGCUGCUUGUCUAACAUGUGUAUUUCAUAAUGACUUCUUACAGGAAAAGACAACCUUGGACAGGAGGAUGCUAUAGCUCUAAGGAUUAAAAAAGCCCAGACUGUGCUUUGUCUUAUCAGAACAGCACAACCCUUAGACUUAAAGGAGGGGGAGGUACUUGCUUUGGUCCUUCCCCUCAAUCAUAGGCAUGAAAAGUUAUUAAGUUAAAAAUAAAAUAUGCAGAAUAAGACAAAAUAAUCAUGAAUGACAUAUACAACCAAGCAAAUAUGACCUUAUUUGUAUGAGAUAUUGUUUGGGAUAUGAAAAUGUCAAUAUACCUAAAUGAAGCCAGCCAAUUGUCCUGAAUUAUGUGGUUUGAAGAUGGUGAGAAGUCAGUGGGAGUAUGGCACAAUCUGUGUUGAUGGAACACUUUCUGGAAAAAGCUCCUAAUUGGGAGCUGAGGUGGCUCUUUACCACAUCUGUGUGACAAGCUCAACUCCCCAGUGGGAAUCUCCACUCUUGAGCUCAGGAUGAGUGAUUGGGGCUUGACUGAAUGAAUUUAAUGAGUUUCAUUCACUUCCUCCACAGGCAAUACCAGAGUCUGAGGUAGAGGUAAGAAGUGGGCAGAGGAAACUCCAUAUAGACCAGACUUAGGUCCCUGAGAGUGUUCUCCAAAAUAGGAUGAUGCACUGAAUCACAGCCACCGCCUUAGCAUAUGCCCAGACAGCUGCCUAGGCUACAGAGCCAGCUUCUGUCCCAGGCUAAAAUGGAGAUGGCUUUCCAAGAGUUUAGCAAAAUCCCCUGCAUGGCAUCCCAAAAGGCCAAAGGCCUCUAGUAUCUUCUUUCCAACAGCAGGUUGAGGUCAGUAAGUAUAGGAGUAGCCUGUCAAUGUUAUGCUCUGCUCAGAGUUCAUUUUUCCCCCCAACUCCCCAAUGUCAUGGGAUAGGCCCAAGUAUAUAGUGGAGACACAAUAAUACAACAUUUGUUCAGUUGUUUUCAGUUGUGACUGACUCU